Molecule: ribosomal RNA, 412 nt
Filed under: uncultured bacterium
Lineage: Bacteria
Description: bacterial SSU rRNA
Rfam family: Bacterial small subunit ribosomal RNA
Source: RNAcentral
GACGAACGCNGGCGGCGUGCCUAAUACAUGCAAGUAGAACGCUGAAGGAGGAGCUUGCUCUUCUGGAUGAGUUGCGAACGGGUGAGUAACGCGUAGGUAACCUGCCUGGUAGCGGGGGAUAACUAUUGGAAACGAUAGCUAAUACCGCAUAAUAGUAGAUGUUGCAUGACAUUUGCUUAAAAGGUGCAAUUGCAUCACUACCAGAUGGACCUGCGUUGUAUUAGCUAGUUGGUGAGGUAACGGCUCACCAAGGCGACGAUACAUAGCCGACCUGAGAGGGUGAUCGGCCACACUGGGACUGAGACACGGCCCAGACUCCUACGGGAGGCAGCAGUAGGGAAUCUUCGGCAAUGGACGGAAGUCUGACCGAGCAACGCCGCGUGAGUGAAGAAGGUUUUCGGAUCGUAAAGCU